Molecule: ribosomal RNA, 650 nt
Filed under: uncultured Flavobacteriales bacterium
Lineage: Bacteria; Pseudomonadati; Bacteroidota; Flavobacteriia; Flavobacteriales
Description: bacterial SSU rRNA
Rfam family: Bacterial small subunit ribosomal RNA
Source: RNAcentral
UUCGGAAUUUGAGACCGGCGCACGGGUGCGUAACGCGUAUGCAAUCUGCCUUCCACAGAGGGAUAGCCCAGAGAAAUUUGGAUUAAUACCUCAUAGCAUUACAGGAUGGCAUCAUCCGGUAAUUAAAGUCACAACGGUGGAAGAUGAGCAUGCGUCCCAUUAGCUAGUUGGUAAGGUAACGGCUUACCAAGGCGACGAUGGGUAGGGGUCCUGAGAGGGAGAUCCCCCACACUGGUACUGAGACACGGACCAGACUCCUACGGGAGGCAGCAGUGAGGAAUAUUGGUCAAUGGGCGCAAGCCUGAACCAGCCAUGCCGCGUGCAGGAUGACGGUCCUAUGGAUUGUAAACUGCUUUUGUACGGGAAGAAACACUGAUUCGUGAAUCAGCCUGACGGUACCGUAAGAAUAAGGAUCGGCUAACUCCGUGCCAGCAGCCGCGGUAAUACGGAGGAUCCAAGCGUUAUCCGGAAUCAUUGGGUUUAAAGGGUCUGUAGGCGGUCUUGUAAGUCAGUGGUGAAAGCCCAUCGCUCAACGGUGGAACGGCCAUUGAUACUGCAGGACUUGAAUUACCGGGAAGUAACUAGAAUAUGUAGUGUAGCGGUGAAAUGCUUAGAUAUUACAUGGAAUACCAAUUGCGAAGGCAGGUUAC